This 2342-nucleotide long non-coding RNA is filed under the name Olea europaea subsp. europaea. Lineage: Eukaryota; Viridiplantae; Streptophyta; Magnoliopsida; Lamiales; Oleaceae. The record is from RNAcentral.
AAAAAAAUAAAAAUUCACGGGACGGGUUCGGGGCGGGGAUGCCCCGCUCCCCACGACGAGGCGACCAUCUAUGCCCCCGCCCUGCCCCGUGCCCCGCGAUGAGGCGGGUUUUUUUGCCCCGUUCGGGGCGGGGCGACGUCGGGACGGGAUGGAGCGGGGUAAAUUGCCAUCACUAGCCUUAAUGGAAGAAGAAAGGCAAAAUCCGAAAUACAUACCCACGCCCACACCCUCUCGUUGUUAUUCUUUUUUGGAACGCUGUCUUGCAAAUUAUAGGAAAGGUUUGAAGUUUUAAGAGUUGUUUGAUUUUUGUUUACAGUUUUAAGUCUAUGUGUUUGUUAUUAUUUUUUGAGCUUUCUUCUUUCACAAACUUCAACAUUUGAGAUCUGGAUGCAAUACUUUGUUCUGAAUUUUGGUUGAGGUGUGUAACAUUUGGGUUUUCAUUAAAUUCAUCUCUUACGUAUUGUCAACUGCAGUUUAGUAAUUGCAAUUUAAGUUUGUGGAAUCGUAUUUGCUGUCAAGCCUUUUAAUUAUGCUCACAGAAGAGGAUUUUUCUAUUUAAGGUAAAGUAAUUCCACUUUAUUCUUAAUGGGCCUUCAUUUUAUCUUAAAAGGCUUGUGAAUUUUGAUUCUACAUUUGUAUAAUUUUAAGUGCCUAUGCUUCAUGAUCUGGUGCACUCUUUACUCGUAUUGAUUUAUUGAUUGAAGUUUAUGCCCUAAUUAAGGCAAUACAGACUAAUUUGGAUUUUAUUUCGAUUGUAAUCGAUCAUCAUUUCUGCUCAAAACGAAUUAACAUGGUCAUAUUAAAUGGUACACUUAAUUGUUAUGAUAAAUUAUAGAGAAAGAUGUUAAGAUCUGCUUCAUGAUAUCUGUUGUUGUCGAAGGCUGAGUUUUAGGAGUGGAAUGUAGUUAUGGUCCAGUAUGAAUUUGAGCUCUUGAAGUUCGGUUUUUCAUAUACUGGAAUGAGUAUUGUAGCCAUGGCAUUUGUUAACUUUUUUCUAUUAGCCAGAAUGAGCAAGUACAAGGAUUGUUUUUAUUCAGUUUCUGAGGGGUGAACAUGGUAAAAUUAUUUAUUUUUGCGGAUAGAUAUGAUGCUUGUUGGAACUUUCUGCAAUUGAGCUUAAACGGUGAGUUGAUAUGCUACCUUCCCAUCAGUGUGAUGUGUAAGACAAUAACGAGACAUAAGUGCAGUUAUGAAAUCAAUCGUGUUUUAUUUAACCGCAAUAUGGCAUGAAUCCAAUUGGAAGAUUUGAUAAACCACCCUUAAUGCCAAGUCUUACAAUGUAAGAUUAUCCAUUAUACUUGUGAUGGUGGUGAUUAUUGACAAUCCUUACCUUUUGCUCACAGUAACAUUCUAGAUUUUUUUAUUAGGCAGCAAUAGCUUUCACACAGGACUUGAUUUCUUGUCAUUAUGUAAUUUAUGUGAAUUAUUAAAUUGAAGUGAGCUUUUCCGGUCUGAAGUAAGCUUGAUCAUGAAUACCAAUUUUCCCAUCUUCAAAUAAAUUGGAUCGUAGUACUUGUAGACCAACAUGUAGGAGGGAAAGUAGACAAUAUUUAUCAGUGUUUCCAAAAGCAUGUAAGGCUGACUUAUUCAGCUCCACCUUAUGCCAAGGUUCAACUAAAAGCCUCAAAGUUCGCUUAUUGACAGCCAUGUGUAAGGCCUAUACCUUGGCUUACUAAUGUGUACGAGCUCGUUAAUAUUAUCCCUUUUCAGCCACUUUUACUACUAUCGAUUUUUUGGGCGAGUUUUUUCAUAGCUUAAAACUUUUAAGGAUUUUUGGGGUUGUUUUAACUAUAGUACAAGUAAUAUUAGUAAAGAAGAUCCUGUUUUAAAGAGUGUAAGGUAUAAAAUAUGUGUUAUUUUAUAAGCAUUAAUCCUCCAAUGGAAUGGUAGAAAUGAAAGUAAAUUUGCAACAGUUAUAGAACCUCUAAGUCUAGACGUAAUGAUUAAAUAUUAUUCUAUCUAUACCAUCUUAGUUCUGCUAUCUAUAAAUGAUUUACACCUGGAAGCUGGACAUGUCUUACAAGUUCUAAUAAAGCAAAAAUAUAGGAACUCAUUAGCAAACUAAUGAUAGCAAUCAUAUUAUGCAUGUUCCUACUGGUUCAAGUGCUCUUUUUGAUGUCUCAUCGGGUUGUUAGGUACCUUUCCAGUUUGUAUGCUUUUCAUUGGAGUAUGGUCCUACAUUUUAUUUUGAAUGAUUGCUUAUUAUGCAUAAUUCGGUACGUUCAUUACAAGAAUUGCAUUCUAUGUUUUUUUGCAGCGAAUAUAAGUGGAGUGAACAUUGACUGAUGACCAAAGAGAUGAAUUUGAGGACGUGCUACAUGUGUUGACUUUAGAAAGAACCC